GAUCAAGUGUCUGAAGGGCAUUUGGUGGAUGCCUUGGCAUUGAGAGGCGAUGAAGGACGUGACAGGCUGCGUUAAGCCUUGGGGAGCUGCCAGUAAGCUUUGAUCCGAGGAUUUCCGAAUGGGGCAACCCACCGCUUCGGCGGUACCGCAUUGUGAAUAUAUAGCUUUGCGGGGCAAACCCAGCGAACUGAAACAUCUCAGUAGCUGGAGGAAAGGACAUCAACCGAGACUCCGUUAGUAGUGGCGAGCGAACGCGGACCAGGCCAGUGGCUUGGAGAAAACAACCAGAACGGUCUGGAAAGGCCGGCCAUAGCGGGUGAUAGCCCCGUAUGGGUAGAGUUUUUUCUAAGUCCUUGAGUAAGGCGGGACACGAGAAAUCCUGUCUGAACGUGGGGGGACCACCCUCCAAGCCUAAGUACUCCU
This 423-nucleotide ribosomal RNA is filed under the name Alphaproteobacteria bacterium. Its description in RNAcentral is "partial 23S ribosomal RNA". It matches the Rfam family "Bacterial large subunit ribosomal RNA", at positions 1 to 477 of the family's 2925-position model. Lineage: Bacteria; Pseudomonadati; Pseudomonadota; Alphaproteobacteria. The record is from RNAcentral.